Molecule: long non-coding RNA, 252 nt
Filed under: Actinidia chinensis (golden kiwifruit)
Lineage: Eukaryota; Viridiplantae; Streptophyta; Magnoliopsida; Ericales; Actinidiaceae
Description: long non-coding RNA (ACHI_LNC009730)
Source: RNAcentral
UUGAUGUACUUGAAAAGUGAAUUUCUUACAAAUAUCCUAGACAACCCACACAAUGUGCCACUCUCCCAGUAGACAUACAAUGUGCCACCCACAAUAUAUAUUCACACUUUUAGAGAGAGAGAGAGAGAGACAGAAAGAGAGAGGGAGAAUUGGAGUUUUGGUGGGUCUAACACCAUUCAAGACCAAAAGGAAUUGUGAAGAAGACAAGUUAGAAUUCAAGCCCCAAAACUUUCACCAUAUCAUACGCGUCAA